RNAcentral lists this ribosomal RNA (230 nucleotides) under uncultured bacterium. Its description in RNAcentral is "partial 16S ribosomal RNA". It matches the Rfam family "Bacterial small subunit ribosomal RNA", at positions 118 to 347 of the family's 1533-position model. The record is from RNAcentral.
UGAGCAAUCUGCCUAGAUGUGGGGGAUAGCCGGCCCAACGGCCGGGUAAUACCGCAUACGCUCUUCUGGUGGCAUCACCGGGUGAGGAAACUUUCGAGGCGUCUAGAGGAGCUCGCGGCCUAUCAGCUAGUUGGUGAGGUAACGGCUCACCAAGGCGACGACGGGUAGCUGGUCUGAGAGGAUGGCCAGCCACAUUGGGACUGAGACACGGCCCAGACCUCUACGGGAGG